GGGUCCAUGGCGUAGUCGGUCAUCGCGCAAGCUUGAAAUUGCGAAUUUGAGGACUCCUGUCCAAACCAGGAUAGAUCCC
Non-coding RNA from Marasmius sp. AFHP31, 79 nucleotides. The record is from the annotation of a GenBank genome assembly. Lineage: Eukaryota; Fungi; Basidiomycota; Agaricomycetes; Agaricales; Marasmiaceae.